RNAcentral lists this ribosomal RNA (379 nucleotides) under uncultured cyanobacterium. RNAcentral describes it as "bacterial SSU rRNA". It matches the Rfam family "Bacterial small subunit ribosomal RNA", at positions 376 to 770 of the family's 1533-position model. Lineage: Bacteria; Bacillati; Cyanobacteriota. The record is from RNAcentral.
CGAAAGCCUGACGGAGCAAGACCGCGUGAGGGAGGAAGGCUCUUGGGUUGUAAACCUCUUUUCUCAGGGAAGAAGCUCUGACGGUACCUGAGGAAUCAGCCUCGGCUAACUCCGUGCCAGCAGCCGCGGUAAUACGAGGGAUGCAAGCGUUAUCCGGAAUUAUUGGGCGUAAAGCGUUCGUAGGUGGCAAAUUAAGUCUGUUGUUAAAACGUGGAGCUUAACUCCAUACCGGCAAUGGAAACUGGUUAGCUAGAGUAUGGUAGGGGUAACAGGAAUUCCCAGUGUAGCGGUGAAAUGCGUAGAUAUUGGGAAGAACACCAGCGGCGAAAGCGUGUUACUGGGCCAUUACUGACACUGAGGGACGAAAGCUAGGGGAGCG